This 253-nucleotide ribosomal RNA is filed under the name uncultured bacterium. Its description in RNAcentral is "partial 16S ribosomal RNA". It matches the Rfam family "Bacterial small subunit ribosomal RNA", at positions 524 to 776 of the family's 1533-position model. The record is from RNAcentral.
UACGUAGGCAGCGAGCGUUGUUCGGAAUUACUGGGCGUAAAGAGCGUGUAGGCGGUGCUCUAAGUUUGGUGUGAAAUCUCCCGGCUUAACUGGGAGGGUGCGCCGAAAACUGGAGUGCUCGAGCGUGGGAGAGGAAAGCGGAAUUCCUGGUGUAGCGGUGAAAUGCGUAGAUAUCAGGAGGAACACCUGCGGUGUAGACGGCUUUCUGGACCAUAGCUGACGCUGAGGCACGAAAGCGUGGGUAGCAAACAGG